RNAcentral lists this ribosomal RNA (477 nucleotides) under uncultured bacterium. RNAcentral describes it as "partial 16S ribosomal RNA". It matches the Rfam family "Bacterial small subunit ribosomal RNA", at positions 30 to 507 of the family's 1533-position model. The record is from RNAcentral.
AUGAACGCUGGCGGCGUGCCUAACACAUGCAAGUCGAACGGAGUCCAGCCUUUAAGACCUUCGGGUCAAAGAGGGGAAGACUGAGUGGCGGACGGGAGAGUAACACGUGGGCAACCUGGCUCAUAGAGGGGGAUAACAGAGAGAAAUUUCUGCUAAUACCGCAUAAGCACACACUGCCGCAUGGCAGAGGGUGAAAAGAGAAUCGCUAUGAGAUGGACCCGCGUCUGAUUAGCCAGUUGGCAGGGUAAGAGCCUACCAAAGCGACGAUCAGUAGCCGAUCUGAGAGGAUGAACGGCCACAUUGGGACUGAGACACGGCCCAAACUCCUACGGGAGGCAGCAGUGGGGGAUAUUGCACAAUGGGGGGAACCCUGAUGCAGCGACGCCGCGUGAGUGAAGAAGUAUUUCGGUAUGUAAAGCUCUAUCAGCAGGGAAGAUAAUGACAGUACCUGAAGAAGAAGCCCCGGCUAACUACGUG